RNAcentral lists this ribosomal RNA (829 nucleotides) under Cicada orni. RNAcentral's name for it is "SSU rRNA". It matches the Rfam family "Eukaryotic small subunit ribosomal RNA", at positions 953 to 1784 of the family's 1831-position model. Lineage: Eukaryota; Metazoa; Arthropoda; Insecta; Hemiptera; Cicadidae. RNAcentral also lists the same sequence under 3 other names. The record is from RNAcentral.
AUUUGCCAAGUAUGUUUCCGUUAAUCAAGAACGAAAGUUAGAGGUUCGAAGGCGAUCAGAUACCGCCCUAGUUCUAACCAUAAACGAUGCCAGCCAGCGAUCCGCCGAAGUUCCUCCGAUGACUCGGCGGGCAGCUUCCGGGAAACCAAAGCUUUUGGGUUCCGGGGGAAGUAUGGUUGCAAAGCUGAAACUUAAAGGAAUUGACGGAAGGGCACCACCAGGAGUGGAGCCUGCGGCUUAAUUUGACUCAACACGGGAAACCUCACCAGGCCCGGACACCGGAAGGAUUGACAGAUUGAGAGCUCUUUCUUGAUUCGGUGGGUGGUGGUGCAUGGCCGUUCUUAGUUGGUGGAGCGAUUUGUCUGGUUAAUUCCGGUAACGAACGAGACUCUAGCCUGCUAAAUAGACGAUUUCCGGUAUCCACAAUAGUGCUACCGGCGAAAUCAAUAUCUUCUUAGAGGGACAGGCGGCUUUCAGCCGCACGAAACUGAGCAAUAACAGGUCUGUGAUGCCCUUAGAUGUCCUGGGCCGCACGCGCGCUACACUGAAGGAAUCAGCGUGUACACCCUGGCCGAAAGGCUCGGGCAACCCGUUGAACCUCCUUCGUGCUAGGGAUUGGGGCUUGCAAUUGUUCCCCAUGAACGAGGAAUUCCCAGUAAGCGCGAGUCAUAAGCUCGCGUUGAUUACGUCCCUGCCCUUUGUACACACCGCCCGUCGCUACUACCGAUUGAAUGAUUUAGUGAGGUCUUCGGACUGGUGCGCGGCGGCCGCCUGCGCGGCCGCCGAUGCCACCGGGAAGAUGACCGAACUUGAUCAUUUAGAGGAAGUA